UCAUCCAAGGUCAUUUCCAACCUGUGGA
RNAcentral lists this non-coding RNA (28 nucleotides) under Mus musculus (house mouse). Lineage: Eukaryota; Metazoa; Chordata; Mammalia; Rodentia; Muridae. The record is from RNAcentral.